Molecule: ribosomal RNA, 460 nt
Filed under: uncultured bacterium
Lineage: Bacteria
Description: partial 16S ribosomal RNA
Rfam family: Bacterial small subunit ribosomal RNA
Source: RNAcentral
CCUACGGGAGGCAGCAGUGAGGAAUAUUGGUCAAUGGACGAGAGUCUGAACCAGCCAAGUAGCGUGAAGGAUGACUGCCCUAUGGGUUGUAAACUUCUUUUAUAUGGGAAUAAAAUGUUCCACGUGUGGGAUUUUGUCUGUACCAUAUGAAUAAGGAUCGGCUAACUCCGUGCCAGCAGCCGCGGUAAUACGGAGGAUCCGAGCGUUAUCCGGAUUUAUUGGGUUUAAGGGGAGCGUAGGUGGAUUGUUAAGUCAGUUGUGAAAGUUUGCGGCUCAACCGUAAAAUUGCAGUUGAAACUGGCAGUCUUGAGUACAGUAGAGGUGGGCGGAAUUCGUGGUGUAGCGGUGAAAUGCUUAGAUAUCACGAAGAACUCCGAUUGCGAAGGCAGUUCACUGGACUGCAACUGACACUGAGGCUCGAAAGUGUGGGUAUCAAACAGGAUUAGAUACCCGAGUAGUC